Fukomys damarensis (Damara mole-rat) is the source of this 103-nucleotide small nuclear RNA. The record is from Ensembl. NCBI's taxonomy places the organism in Eukaryota, Metazoa, Chordata, Mammalia, Rodentia, Bathyergidae.
GUCCGUGCUGCUGAGUCUACUAAAAAACGGAGCUGUACAGCAAAGAUUACCAUGGCCCCUGAGCAAGGGUGACACGCAGAUUCAUGAGAUGUUCUAAAAAGAA